RNAcentral lists this ribosomal RNA (481 nucleotides) under uncultured bacterium. Its description in RNAcentral is "bacterial SSU rRNA". It matches the Rfam family "Bacterial small subunit ribosomal RNA", at positions 28 to 521 of the family's 1533-position model. The record is from RNAcentral.
GACGAACGCUGGCGGCGUGCCUAACACAUGCAAGUCGAACGGAGUAAAGAGCUUCGGUUUUUUACUUAGUUGGCGGACGGGUGAGUAACGCGUGAGUAACCUGCCUCCGAGAGGGGAAGUAACAAUCUGAAAAGAAUUGCUAAUACCGCAUAACAUAUGUUUACCGCAUGGUAGAUAUAUCAAAGAUUUAUCGCUCGGAGAUGGACUCGCGUCCGAUUAGGUAGUUGGUGAGGUAACGGCGUCACCAAGCCGACGAUCGGUAGCCGGACUGAGAGGUUGAACGGCCACAUUGGGACUGAGACACGGCCCAGACUCCUACGGGAGGCAGCAGUGGGGGAGUAUUGCGCAAUGGGGGCAACCCUGACGCAGCAAUGCCGCGUGAAGGAUGAAGGUUUUCGGAUUGUAAACUUCUUUUAUUAAGGACGACAAUGACGGUACUUAAUGAAUAAGCUCCGGCUAACUACGUGCCAGCAGCCGCGGU